This 503-nucleotide ribosomal RNA is filed under the name uncultured bacterium. Its description in RNAcentral is "partial 16S ribosomal RNA". It matches the Rfam family "Bacterial small subunit ribosomal RNA", at positions 30 to 523 of the family's 1533-position model. The record is from RNAcentral.
AUUGAACGCUGGCGGCAUGCCUACACAUGCAAGUCGAACGGCAGCAUGGAGAGCUUGCUCUCUGAUGGCGAGUGGCGAACGGGUGGGUAAUAUAUCGGAACGUGCCCAGUCGUGGGGGAUAACGUAGCGAAAGCUACGCUAAUACCGCAUACGAUCUACGGAUGAAAGCGGGGGAUCGCAAGACCUCGCGCGAUUGGAGCGGCCGAUAUCAGAUUAGGUAGUUGGUGAGGUAAAGGCUCACCAAGCCGACGAUCUGUAGCUGGUCUGAGAGGACGACCGGCCACACUGGGACUGAGACACGGCCCAGACUCCUACGGGAGGCAGCAGUGGGGAAUUUUGGACAAUGGACGCAAGUCUGAUCCAGCCAUUCCGCGUGCAGGACGAAGGCCUUCGGGUUGUAAACUGCUUUUGUACAGAACGAAAAGGUCUCUAUUAAUACUAGGGGCUCAUGACGGUACUGUAAGAAUAAGCACCGGCUAACUACGUGCCAGCAGCCGCCGUAA